RNAcentral lists this long non-coding RNA (919 nucleotides) under Heterocephalus glaber (naked mole-rat). RNAcentral describes it as "lncRNA (ENSHGLG00100030188.2)". The record is from RNAcentral. Lineage: Eukaryota; Metazoa; Chordata; Mammalia; Rodentia; Bathyergidae.
GGAGUUGGAUGAGGUGAUAGCAAGCAAUGGCUUCUUCAUCCUCAGUUCUGUGACUCUUAGACACUAAAUUUGAGUAACUGAAAUGGACUAAGAUACAGCCAUCAUAUGAAUAUGGGUUUCAGAUGUACAACAAGACAUGGAAAAACUGACAGUGUGAACAGUGAAGAAAAAGGAAGAAAUCCACUUUGGAUCAUGGUUUAGAAGAAAUAUGGGGUCCAAAAAAGGGUUUCUUUUUUGAAUCUGCCAUGCUAUGAAGGACGUGAAAAUCAGUUUUACUGGAAAGAUGAUGGACUCUCAUCUGAGAUUGCCCCCUGGAGGACAUAGGGAGCAACCAGACAGCAUCUGCUUCCUGCUCCAGGGAGGAUCAACAUUAAUUAAUGCAACAGAGCAGCUGGUUCUCUCUGAGCUACUGAUUUGGAUUCAGCUGCAGUGAUUAUUUCUUUGUGCAUCAUUUGGCUUUGUGCAUCAUUUGACUCCUCAAAAGAUCACACAUUGUUAUGUUUUACAUCUAGACUGUCUCACAAAAGUCCCAUAAGUUCAGAGGUGGGACUUUUGGAUGGUGACUGGAUCAUGGAGGUGCUGUGCUCUUCAGAGCAUUGAGCACACUCUCACACAAAUGCUUGUGGAUGGACUAUGUGAAAUUGAACCAGAACUUCAGGAAUGAAGAAGUGAAGUCAGAAGAACUAGUAAGCUGGAAACCAAAGGCAGAGAGAAAUACAAUCAAGGAAAUAUUAAACUCAGAUUGAAGACUAAAGGAGUAGUAAUAAAUAUUUCCCCAAGUACAUGAGACUCUCCCUCUCUAUGUUGGCUGUGGAUCCCACUCAAAAUUCAAUCAUGCUAUGAAAAUGUUUUAUCACUCACCUACAUCCUGGAGAAAAGAAUAUCAAGAUGCUUUUUCUCUUCCAAGCUGAAUAACACA